Molecule: non-coding RNA, 251 nt
Organism: Pelobates cultripes (western spadefoot toad)
Lineage: Eukaryota; Metazoa; Chordata; Amphibia; Anura; Pelobatidae
Source: the annotation of a GenBank genome assembly
GUUGGAAGCUAGAUAACGCACAAGGAAGUGACCCAAUGCUGAAAUCUGGAUUUUAAGUGUUGAUACACCUAGACCAGCUCGAAACCCACCCUGCAGGAAAGACAAUAUCAGAAACGCAACCUUUCAGAACACACCAGUUCAGGAACUUUAUCCAAAUCCCAAGAUAAAUCUUGGAACGUCGAUGAACAGACAGCACUACGAAAUAACGGACAGAUGCCAAAAUAACCUCAUUCAAUUUGUCUGAAAGCCCC